Paramuricea clavata is the source of this 205-nucleotide non-coding RNA. The record is from the annotation of a GenBank genome assembly. Lineage: Eukaryota; Metazoa; Cnidaria; Anthozoa; Malacalcyonacea; Plexauridae.
GUUGUUGAAACAGCAUUGCUACAAGUCUGCUGCAGGUUUGUUACAACUUGUGCGUUUUUACGCGUGUAAUACAUUGACUUGACCAUUGUUUUAUUGAAUCUAGUGGAAAGAUUUCAUGGAGUUAGGGAAAUCGUGUGAUGACGCGGAGUUAAAUGCGAGAAUCAGCGCUCUUAAAGUGAAUGAGUGUUGUACCUUAGUUUAUACC